This 217-nucleotide non-coding RNA is filed under the name unclassified sequences. RNAcentral describes it as "Methylosinus-1 RNA". It matches the Rfam family "Methylosinus-1 RNA". The record is from Rfam by way of RNAcentral.
GGGGGCGGUUUUCGAGAGACGCGGGACGGCUGCCCCCGUCGGCGCGCUCGAUCGCUCCUCCGCCGGUCCGGCUUCUCCUUCGUGCGGAGGCCUUUGGCGACAAAGGCGAAAGCCGGCCUCAAUGUCCGAGAGUCGCGCGGGGAUAGAUUACCCGAGAGGUGGAAAACAACCCUGGCUCCGGAGGCGGUGAAAAAUGACAGGCGGACCGCGUCCGGGA